This 402-nucleotide long non-coding RNA is filed under the name Mytilus galloprovincialis (Mediterranean mussel). Lineage: Eukaryota; Metazoa; Mollusca; Bivalvia; Mytilida; Mytilidae. The record is from RNAcentral.
GGGGAACUGUUAAUCAUGGUAAAUUACUUUUAACUAUAGGGACGAGUUGUCAGGGAUUCAUAUGUCCUGCGUGUUUUUAUGUCUUUACAUAUAGGUAUCUAACAGUUUAUUAGGGACGAGUUGUCAGGGAUUCAUAUGUCCUGCGUGUUUUAUGUCUUUACAUAUAGGUAUCUAACAGUUUAUUAGGGACGAGUUGUCAGGGAUUCAUAUGUCCUGCGUGUUUUUAUGUCUUUACAUAUAGGUAUCUAACAGUUUAUUAGGGACGAGUUGUCAGGGAUUCAUAUGUCCUGCGUGUUUUAUGUCUUUACAUAUAGGUAUUAAACUGUUUAUUAGGGACGAGUUGUCAGGGAUUCAUAUGUCCUGCGUGUUUUAUGUCUUUACAUAUAGGUAUCUAACAGUUUA